CCUACGGGGGGCUGCAGUGGGGAAUAUUGGACAAUGGGGGGAACCCUGAUCCAGCCAUGCCGCGUGUGUGAAGAAGGCCCUCGGGUUGUAAAGCACUUUCAGUGAGGAAGAACGCCUGGUGGUUAAUACCCAUCAGGAAAGACAUCACUCACAGAAGAAGCACCGGCUAACUCCGUGCCAGCAGCCGCGGUAAUACGGAGGGUGCGAGCGUUAAUCGGAAUUACUGGGCGUAAAGCGCACGUAGGUGGCUUGAUAAGCCGGUUGUGAAAGCCCCGGGCUCAACCUGGGAACGGCAUCCGGAACUGUCAAGCUAGAGUGCAGGAGAGGAAGGUAGAAUUCCCGGUGUAGCGGUGAAAUGCGUAGAGAUCGGGAGGAAUACCAGUGGCGAAGGCGGCCUUCUGGACUGAAACUGACACUGAGGUGCGAAAGCGUGGGUAGCAAACAGGAUUAGAUACCCUAGUAGUC
RNAcentral lists this ribosomal RNA (465 nucleotides) under Vreelandella stevensii. Its description in RNAcentral is "partial 16S ribosomal RNA". It matches the Rfam family "Bacterial small subunit ribosomal RNA", at positions 338 to 795 of the family's 1533-position model. The record is from RNAcentral. Lineage: Bacteria; Pseudomonadati; Pseudomonadota; Gammaproteobacteria; Oceanospirillales; Halomonadaceae.